RNAcentral lists this ribosomal RNA (237 nucleotides) under uncultured bacterium. RNAcentral describes it as "partial 16S ribosomal RNA". It matches the Rfam family "Bacterial small subunit ribosomal RNA", at positions 524 to 758 of the family's 1533-position model. The record is from RNAcentral.
AACGUAGGUGGCGAGCGUUUAUCCGGAUUUACUGGGCGUAAAGCGUGUGCAGGUGGCCUGUUAAGUGGUGUAUGAAAUCGCCCGGCUCAACCGGGCGGGGUUAUGCCAGACUGGCAGGCUAGAGGGUGGGAGAGGGAUGUGGAAUUCCGGGUGUAGUGGUGAAAUGCGUAGAGAUCCGGAGGAACCCCAGAGGCGAAGGCGGCAUCCUGGCCCGACGACUGACACUCAGACACGACA